Molecule: transfer RNA, 70 nt
Filed under: Aneides flavipunctatus (black salamander)
Lineage: Eukaryota; Metazoa; Chordata; Amphibia; Caudata; Plethodontidae
Description: tRNA-Lys
Source: RNAcentral
CAUUAAGAAGCUUUCAUGAAUAAGCAAUAGCCUUUUAAGCUGGAGUUCGGUAAUAAAUUACCCUUAAUGA